This is a long non-coding RNA of Asparagus officinalis (garden asparagus), 533 nucleotides long. RefSeq lists it as uncharacterized. Lineage: Eukaryota; Viridiplantae; Streptophyta; Magnoliopsida; Asparagales; Asparagaceae. The record is from RefSeq and is a predicted model, not a curated record. The transcript has 4 exons.
AACUAAUAGUUAUGAUCGAAAAAUACAUGUUACGAGACCUUGGCUUGCACAAGCAUUUCUGAAAGGAAAUAUUGAAAUGAUGGCAAAACGAAUGAAGGAAAAUGUUUCUCAGCAGAAGUUUUGUGAGUGUGAAAGAAUUUUGAUCCCAAUUGUCAGCUCCGGACAUUGGCAUAUGGUAGAGUUAGUGAGGGAGGAGAAAAAAUUCUAUCACUACUCCUCAAUCAAGUCUUCCCUUUAUACCGCCGAUGCUGCGAAAUUUAAAAAUAAGUUUAUGAGUUUCAUAGAGAGUAAUUGGACGUUGGGGAAAUUAGAGCACCAUGAACUUGUGUCAGUUGCCGCUCCUCAACAAGGACCAACCUUAGAUUGUGGGAUCUUUGUGAUUGAAUUCAUUAAUAGCAUUGUCGAAAAGCGAUCGAUAACAAUCUCACAAGGAGAGUGUGCAAAAUACAGAGCAAAGUUUUGUGCAGCUCUCUUGUAUGCACGCAAUUCACCAUAUUUCUGACGAUUGUAAUUCACAAGGGUGGGUGUGAUUC